CAUGCAGCCGAGCGGUAGAGAUUCUUCGGAAUCUUGAGAGCGGCGUACGGGUGCGGAACACGUGUGCAACCUACCUUUAUCAGGGGGAUAGCCUUUCGAAAGGAAGAUUAAUACCCCAUAAUAUAUUGAAUGGCAUCAUUUAAUAUUGAAAACUCCGGUGGAUAGAGAUGGGCACGCGCAAGAUUAGAUAGUUGGUAGGGUAACGGCCUACCAAGUCAAUGAUCUUUAGGGGGCCUGAGAGGGUGAUCCCCCACACUGGUACUGAGACACGGACCAGACUCCUACGGGAGGCAGCAGUGAGGAAUAUUGGACAAUGGGUGAGAGCCUGAUCCAGCCAUCCCGCGUGAAGGACGACGGCCCUAUGGGUUGUAAACUUCUUUUGUAUAGGGAUAAACCUACUCUCGUGAGAGUAGCUGAAGGUACUAUACGAAUAAGCACCGGCUAACUCCGUGCCAGCAGCCGCGGUAAUACGGAGGGUGCAAGCGUUAUCCGGAUUUAUUGGGUUUAAAGGGUCCGUAGGCGGAUCUGUAAGUCAGUGGUGAAAUCUCAUAGCUUAACUAUGAAACUGCCAUUGAUACUGCAGGUCUUGAGUAAAGUAGAAGUGGCUGGAAUAAGUAGUGUAGCGGUGAAAUGCAUAGAUAUUACUUAGAACACCAAUUGCGAAGGCAGGUCACUAUGUUUUAACUGACGCUGAUGGACGAAAGCGUGGGGAGCGAACAGGAUUAGAUACCCUGGUAGUCCACGCCGUAAACGAUGCUAACUCGUUUUUGGGUCUUCGGAUUCAGAGACUAAGCGAAAGUGAUAAGUUAGCCACCUGGGGAGUACGUUCGCAAGAAUGAAACUCAAAGGAAUUGACGGGGGCCCGCACAAGCGGUGGAUUAUGUGGUUUAAUUCGAUGAUACGCGAGGAACCUUACCAAGGCUUAAAUGGGAAUUGACAGGUUUAGAAAUAGACUUUUCUUCGGACAAUUUUCAAGGUGCUGCAUGGUUGUCGUCAGCUCGUGCCGUGAGGUGUUAGGUUAAGUCCUGCAACGAGCGCAACCCCUGUCACUAGUUGCCAUCAUUCAGUUGGGGACUCUAGUGAGACUGCCUACGCAAGUAGAGAGGAAGGUGGGGAUGACGUCAAAUCAUCACGGCCCUUACGCCUUGGGCCACACACGUAAUACAAUGGCCAGUACAGAGGGCAGCUACCAGGCGACUGGAUGCGAAUCUCGAAAGCUGGUCUCAGUUCGGAUUGGAGUCUGCAACUCGACUCUAUGAAGCUGGAAUCGCUAGUAAUCGCAUAUCAGCCAUGAUGCGGUGAAUACGUUCCCGGGCCUUGUACACACCGCCCGUCAAGCCAUGGAAGUUUGGGGUACCGAAGUCGGGACC
This 1370-nucleotide ribosomal RNA is filed under the name Chryseobacterium sp. T82L.09.LHR.H.Kidney.D. Its description in RNAcentral is "bacterial SSU rRNA". It matches the Rfam family "Bacterial small subunit ribosomal RNA". The record is from RNAcentral. Lineage: Bacteria; Pseudomonadati; Bacteroidota; Flavobacteriia; Flavobacteriales; Weeksellaceae.